RNAcentral lists this non-coding RNA (31 nucleotides) under Homo sapiens (human). Lineage: Eukaryota; Metazoa; Chordata; Mammalia; Primates; Hominidae. The record is from RNAcentral.
UGCUGCGAUACUAAGAUGAGUGAGACAUAGC